GAUGAACGCUGGCGGCGUGCCUAAUACAUGCAAGUCGAGCGAACGGACGAGAAGCUUGCUUCUCUGAUGUUAGCGGCGGACGGGUGAGUAACACGUGGAUAACCUACCUAUAAGACUGGGAUAACUUCGGGAAACCGGAGCUAAUACCGGAUAAUAUUUUGAACCGCAUGGUUCAAAAGUGAAAGACGGUCUUGCUGUCACUUAUAGAUGGAUCCGCGCUGCAUUAGCUAGUUGGUAAGGUAACGGCUUACCAAGGCAACGAUGCAUAGCCGACCUGAGAGGGUGAUCGGCCACGCUGGAACUGAGACACGGUCCAGACUCCUACGGGAGGCAGCAGUAGGGAAUCUUCCGCAAUGGGCGAAAGCCUGACGGAGCAACGCCGCGUGAGUGAUGAAGGUCUUCGGAUCGUAAAACUCUGUUAUUAGGGAAGAACAUAUGCGUAAGUAACUGUGCACAUCUUGACGGUACCUAAUCAGAAAGCCACGGCUAACUACGUG
RNAcentral lists this ribosomal RNA (497 nucleotides) under uncultured bacterium. Its description in RNAcentral is "partial 16S ribosomal RNA". It matches the Rfam family "Bacterial small subunit ribosomal RNA", at positions 28 to 507 of the family's 1533-position model. The record is from RNAcentral.